UUACUAUGAUGACCAUUUAGGACACCUUUGUAUUAACCAUGAAACGACUUUAAAAAUCUGAGCUAU
Molecule: small nucleolar RNA, 66 nt
Organism: Osmerus eperlanus (European smelt)
Lineage: Eukaryota; Metazoa; Chordata; Actinopteri; Osmeriformes; Osmeridae
Product: small nucleolar RNA SNORD58
Exons: 1
Source: RefSeq, a predicted model, not a curated record